GCAAGUCGAACGGCAGCACAGAGGAGCUUGCUCCUUGGGUGGCGAGUGGCGGACGGGUGAGGAAAACGUCGGAAUCUGCCUAUUUGUGGGGGAUAACGUAGGGAAACUUACGCUAAUACCGCAUACGACCUACGGGUGAAAGCGGAGGACCUUCGGGCUUCGCGCAGAUAGAUGAGCCGACGUCGGAUUAGCUAGUUGGGGGGGUAAAGGCCCACCAAGGCGACGAUCCGUAGCUGGUCUGAGAGGAUGAUCAGCCACACUGGAACUGAGACACGGUCCAGACUCCUACGGGAGGCAGCAGUGGGGAAUAUUGGACAAUGGGCGCAAGCCUGAUCCAGCCAUGCCGCGUGUGUGAAGAAGGCCUUCGGGUUGUAAAGCACUUUUGUCCGGAAAGAAAAGCACUGGGUUAAUACCCUGGUGUCAUGACGGUACCGGAAGAAUAAGCACCGGCUAACUUCGUGCCAGCAGCCGCGGUAAUACGAAGGGUGCAAGCGUUACUCGGAAUUACUGGGCGUAAAGCGUGCGUAGGCGGUUUGUUAAGUCUGAUGUGAAAGCCCUGGGCUCAACCUGGGAAUGGCAUUGGAUACUGGCAAUCUAGAAUGUGGUAGAGGGUGGCGGAAUUCCCGGUGUAGCAGUGAAAUGCGUAGAUAUCGGGAGGAACAUCCGUGGCGAAGGCGGCCACCUGGACCAAC
This 692-nucleotide ribosomal RNA is filed under the name Lysobacter sp. Y4_144_3. Its description in RNAcentral is "bacterial SSU rRNA". It matches the Rfam family "Bacterial small subunit ribosomal RNA", at positions 57 to 738 of the family's 1533-position model. Lineage: Bacteria; Pseudomonadati; Pseudomonadota; Gammaproteobacteria; Lysobacterales; Lysobacteraceae. The record is from RNAcentral.